This 216-nucleotide ribosomal RNA is filed under the name Klebsiella pneumoniae. Its description in RNAcentral is "partial 16S ribosomal RNA". It matches the Rfam family "Bacterial small subunit ribosomal RNA", at positions 487 to 702 of the family's 1533-position model. The record is from RNAcentral. Lineage: Bacteria; Pseudomonadati; Pseudomonadota; Gammaproteobacteria; Enterobacterales; Enterobacteriaceae.
GAAGCACCGGCUAACUCCGUGCCAGCAGCCGCGGUAAUACGGAGGGUGCAAGCGUUAAUCGGAAUUACUGGGCGUAAAGCGCACGCAGGCGGUCUGUCAAGUCGGAUGUGAAAUCCCCGGGCUCAACCUGGGAACUGCAUUCGAAACUGGCAGGCUAGAGUCUUGUAGAGGGGGGUAGAAUUCCAGGUGUAGCGGUGAAAUGCGUAGAGAUCUGGA